RNAcentral lists this ribosomal RNA (636 nucleotides) under Triticum aestivum (bread wheat). RNAcentral describes it as "partial small subunit ribosomal RNA". The record is from RNAcentral. Lineage: Eukaryota; Viridiplantae; Streptophyta; Magnoliopsida; Poales; Poaceae.
AUGGCGCACCAGGUAGUGGGUGCGCCAUUAGUAUCCAAGAUGUUCUACUCGCACCAGCUCCUCGCGCGGAAGGCGCCGCUCGGCCAGAUAUGGUGCGUCCCCUCCCCUCUCUCCCUCCCUCCCUCGCCGGCCGCCGCCUCUCGCCCCCCUCGGUCGCGGCCGCCGGCCGCCGAUUGCGCCCGUCCCGCGUUUUCCCACUCGGUCCGGGGCGUUUCCGGACGCGCCCGUCCGAUCCGCUCCCAAUGCGGCGGGUUCCCCGUCGCCUCGAUCUCCUCUGACGCUCCUCUGCUCCCCUGUCCCCGUCGCAGGAUGGCCGCCACGCUCCACGCCAAGAUCAACCGCAAGCGCCUCGACAAGCUCGACAUCAUCAAAAUCUGCGAGGAGAUCCUAAACCCGUCGGUGCCCAUGGCGCUCAGGCUCUCCGGGAUCCUCAUGGGCGGCAUGGUGAUCGUGUACGAGAGGAAGGUGAAGCUUCUCUACGAUGAUGUGUCCCGUCUUCUGAUUGAGAUCAACGAGGCAUGGAAGAUCAGGCUGGCCGUGGACCACACCGUCCUCCCCAAGGGCAAGGCUCAAGCCAUGAGUGCGCUCUCUGUCUCCAUGCCCUUCUACAAGUUUCUGAAUGUGCUUGUGUCCUGA